This 253-nucleotide ribosomal RNA is filed under the name uncultured bacterium. RNAcentral describes it as "partial 16S ribosomal RNA". It matches the Rfam family "Bacterial small subunit ribosomal RNA", at positions 524 to 776 of the family's 1533-position model. The record is from RNAcentral.
UACGUAGGGGGCAAGCGUUGUCCGGAAUCAUUGGGCGUAAAGAGCGUGUAGGCGGUCCGGUCAGUCGGUUGUGAAAGUCAAGGGCUCAACCCUUGAAUGCCGGCCGAUACUGCCGGGCUAGAGUCCGGAAGAGGUGAGUGGAAUUCCUGGUGUAGCGGUGAAAUGCGCAGAUAUCAGGAGGAACACCGGUGGCGAAGGCGGGUCUCUGGGCCGAUACUGACGCUGAGACGCGAAAGCGUGGGGAGCGAACAGG